AGGAUCAUACUUCAUAGGAUCAAUUCAAUAGUAUGAUUAAUGAGUUCACUCACCGAACUUCGCAGAAAACCUAACCGCGAAUAUGUGGAAUCGGGUUUUCUUCUAAGCGUGAAGCAGUUGUUUCUUUCUAUGAUAGAUUGAGCAAUAUUGAAGAUCUGUUUGACAUUCCGCUAAAUGGAUGGAAAAAGCUCGUUCUGAGU
This is a small nucleolar RNA of Parasteatoda tepidariorum (common house spider), 200 nucleotides long. RefSeq annotates it as small nucleolar RNA U3. NCBI's taxonomy places the organism in Eukaryota, Metazoa, Arthropoda, Arachnida, Araneae, Theridiidae. The record is from RefSeq and is a predicted model, not a curated record.